This 106-nucleotide ribosomal RNA is filed under the name Bartalinia robillardoides. RNAcentral's name for it is "partial 18S ribosomal RNA". It matches the Rfam family "Eukaryotic small subunit ribosomal RNA", at positions 1726 to 1830 of the family's 1831-position model. RNAcentral also lists the same sequence under 2 other names. Lineage: Eukaryota; Fungi; Ascomycota; Sordariomycetes; Amphisphaeriales; Sporocadaceae. The record is from RNAcentral.
GGUCGGCAACGACCACCCAGGGCCGGAAAGCUAUCCAAACUCGGUCAUUUAGAGGAAGUAAAAGUCGUAACAAGGUCUCCGUUGGUGAACCAGCGGAGGGAUCAUU